UAGAUGGGAUUUACAUCUGAAAAACCAAGUGAGAAACUGAAGACCAGAGAGGGUGAGUGGUUUACCCAGUUUGGCACAACUGACCCCAACCUAGCCCUCCAUGAGGACUGAGCACAUGAGAGAUCCUGAGCCACAGCCACCCAGCCCUGCUCCUCUCGAAUUUCUGACCUACAGGAAGUGCAAGAAGUAAUGAAAGACUGCUGUUUAAAGCCACUGCAUUUUGGCAUGAUUUGUUAUGCAGUCAUAGAUAACCAGAAAACAUCGGAUUUACAUUUUAAGGAAACAGAGAAGCAAAGAAGUUAGCAAGCUUGUUUUGGCAGAAGAAAAAACACAAAAUGCCCAACCACAGAUCCUC
This 355-nucleotide long non-coding RNA is filed under the name Pan troglodytes (chimpanzee). RNAcentral describes it as "lincRNA". Lineage: Eukaryota; Metazoa; Chordata; Mammalia; Primates; Hominidae. The record is from RNAcentral.